UGGGGAAUAUUGGACAAUGGGCGCAAGCCUGAUCCAGCCAUGCCGCGUGAGUGAUGAAGGCCCUAGGGUUGUAAAGCUCUUUCACCGGUGAAGAUAAUGACGGUAACCGGAGAAGAAGCCCCGGCUAACUUCGUGCCAGCAGCCGCGGUAAUACGAAGGGGGCUAGCGUUGUUCGGAUUUACUGGGCGUAAAGCGCACGUAGGCGGACUUUUAAGUCAGGGGUGAAAUCCCGGGGCUCAACCCCGGAACUGCCUUGGAUACUGGAAGUCUUGAGUAUGGGAGAGGUGAGGGGAAUUCCGAGUGUAGAGGGGAAAUUCGUAGGUAGUCGGGGGAACACCAGUGGCGAGGGCGGCUCACUGGACCAUUACUGACGCUGAGGUGCGAAAGCGUGGGGAGCAAACAGG
Molecule: ribosomal RNA, 404 nt
Filed under: Actinomycetes bacterium
Lineage: Bacteria; Bacillati; Actinomycetota; Actinomycetes
Description: Actinobacteria bacterium partial 16S ribosomal RNA
Rfam family: Bacterial small subunit ribosomal RNA
Source: RNAcentral